GCGUCCGUAGCUCAGCUGGAUAGAGCACUGGUUUGCGGUACCAGCGGUCUCAGGUUCGAAUCCUGACGGGCGUG
Molecule: transfer RNA, 74 nt
Filed under: hydrothermal vent metagenome
Description: tRNA-Arg-GCG
Rfam family: tRNA
About the family: Transfer RNA (tRNA) molecules are approximately 80 nucleotides in length. Their secondary structure includes four short double-helical elements and three loops (D, anti-codon, and T loops).
Source: RNAcentral